This 558-nucleotide long non-coding RNA is filed under the name Phasianus colchicus (ring-necked pheasant). Its description in RNAcentral is "lncRNA (ENSPCLG00000017714.1)". The record is from RNAcentral. Lineage: Eukaryota; Metazoa; Chordata; Aves; Galliformes; Phasianidae.
CAGGAGGCAGUGAGCAGUUAGUCUGCCACCUCUCUAAGCUCCAGAGAGUAGGAAUGCAGCCAGUGAGAGCACAAGGUGAAGGUUUCAGCACUUGCAGACAGUGUUUAUGAAACUAAACAUUCAUACCUGGAUAUUGCUACAAAACAAGCAAGGAGAGGGAAAGGUGGGGAAGACAAGCCCUGUUGCUGAUGAUAGAAUCAACCAAGCUGCAACAACUGAAAGACAGACCUGUCUUCUGAGCAUAGCAAACUCUUAGUACAACAACGAUGUAUUUGCAUACCUAUGGAAAGGAAAACUUCUGCUUUGAUUAGGAGGGUUAAGGUCAAGCAAGAGGGUUAAAGACAUCACACUUCAGCAAGAAUGGAGUGGAGGUGGCAGAGAACAGAAAGUCAUCUGAAUAAGAGAAGAGGAUGCUCUUUGGAUUUAACCUCAGUGUAAGCAGAUGAAAUACAGUUCUUGUUGAGUCUUUGGCUUUAUCUUUUGGAUGUGAUAGUGUUUUGCCUGGAUUUCAUGGGCUUAGCCUGUUUUGAUUAGCACCAAGUAAGACAGCACGACUUU